RNAcentral lists this long non-coding RNA (643 nucleotides) under Danio rerio (zebrafish). RNAcentral describes it as "lncRNA si:dkey-11p23.12 (ENSDARG00000096021.2)". Lineage: Eukaryota; Metazoa; Chordata; Actinopteri; Cypriniformes; Danionidae. The record is from RNAcentral.
GACAAUUAAAACCCUAAUCAUGCUUGCGAUUCUGUUGAUGGCAUCAAUGUUCUGCCAAGGUCUCUCAUUAGUGAGCUAUGGAGACAGCUUCAUCACAGCCUUUCCAGAAAACCUUGGCUUCUUCUAUCCAUUUCCUCUCUGGAACAUCCUGAAAGUCACAGCCCUCUACGACAACACUAAAAUAACCAUCUUACGUACAAACUCACAGCAAGACUUUACUAUUCAGAAGUCAGGGCAAACCUUGCGUGUGUACGUUUCGAACGUUGAAGUAAAUCAACUUGGCUUCUGGGAUUUAUCUGUCAGAGUUACCAGUGACAAAAACAUCACUUUGGUUUCUGUAAGUCAGCGGGGAAUGAGCACUCAAGUCAAUGUCAUUCAGCCCAUAGUAAAUCUCGGCACAGACUAUUGGAUCCCUUUACUGGAUUACCCAGGGUAUCUUGAAACCUUCAAACUGCCUAGUCUGGUCAGUACCGACAUGAGAUACAGCUCAUUCAAGCUACUCAUCAUCAAUGCGGUGAACAGUCAAAACAACAUCAUUGUAGUUAAGAAAACAUCGACCGAUGUUGAAGAAGAGACGUUCAGUAUUGACCCUUACAAGCUGGUUCAGCUUCAGACCAACGGCUCUGUGCUGAGGGUCAAAUCU